Molecule: RNA transcript, 3677 nt
Organism: Misgurnus anguillicaudatus (oriental weatherfish)
Lineage: Eukaryota; Metazoa; Chordata; Actinopteri; Cypriniformes; Cobitidae
Gene: matcap2
Gene name: microtubule associated tyrosine carboxypeptidase 2
Source: RefSeq, a predicted model, not a curated record
UAGAUAUUUAUGCGGUCUAGUUUAUUUGUGCUCUUUAUCUUUUAUCUUCAUAUUGUCAUUUUUAUGUAAACAUUAACUUUACUGUUGAAAAAUAGCACAGCGCGAGCGAUCUCGAGUCUAUUCAAGUUAACUUACAGAACAGCUCUUUUAGCCAUAACUUGAAACAUCUAGGUGCACCCAAGCCCCAUGGAGAAACCUGUGAGCCCCAGUCAGGUGCGUCUGGAUCGUGUGUCCUCUAAUGUUUUGAAGGACCUGUUUAACACCAGCACGCUGCUUCAGAAAGAGACCGAUAGGGAAGAGAGUCGUCCCAAAAGAGGGCAAAUAGUUUCCACAGCAACACAGAGCGGUGGACACCGGCCAACCUUUGAACCACUCGUGACAAGUGGGCUUGGCAUUGGUUGCAGAGAUGCUAGGCACACUCAGUCAGUUUUUUCCUGUUUCUCCAUCAGCAGUACCAGACAAAUGAACAAUAUUGCUGUGCAGGGCAGCAUCAUCCACCUGUCCCCUUGCCCCAAGCCCAAGAACAGCUGCCCGGCCGCUUCCCGUGGCACAAAACUGCCCCAGUUGUACAGAGGAUGCCCUGCUGGUCGUGAUGGGGAGAACUCAGUCAAGAAGUUGUGCAUACUUACCGCUAUAAAGCCAUAUAAUGUGGAGAAAGAGCGGGCCAGGUUUUUUAAAUCAGACUUUAACUACAAUCCUCAGUUUGAGUACAGCAACCCCGUCUCAGCACAAGUUCUGGCAAGGCAUGGCAACGCUUCAGACCGCUUCCUCCCACAGGCUGUGCGGAUCAUGGAGUCGGCUUUGCAGAAAUACGGAUCAUAUGAGAAGUUUGAGCAAGCUACAGGAGGAAACCUCCUCACCAAGAGCCGCAUCUGGUACCAUGUCAAAAAGUACAUGGAAAAGGAAGGAUGUAUGGGAGAGAUUGUGGUUAAUCUUACAGAUGAUCUGCUGUCCAGAGCAUCAAUGACUGUGGUGAAUGGCAGGCCUACACUUACCAUUAACAUCUGUGCUGCCAGAGAGCAGUGGCUAGAGGGAAUGCUGAGACAUGAGAUCGGUACACAUUACUUCAGAGGCAUCAACAACAGUCAUCAGCCAUGGAGCAGCAGCGUGGGCAGGAAAAAACACAACCUGCGACCCAUCAACCCCACUGAAGAGGGGCUGGCCAGCAUUCACAGCGUGCUCUUCCGCAAGGACCCAGUCCUGUGGCGGGCCGCACUGCUCUACUACACCGUACACAAAGCCAGCCAUAUGUCCUUCUCACAGCUGUUUCACGACCUGGGCCGAUUCGUCCACGACCCAAACACGAGGUGGGACUACUGCGUCAGAGCCAAACGCGGACAGACAGACACAGCACAGCCAGGUUGUUUCAGUAAGGACCAGGUUUAUUUAGAUGGUAUUCUGAAGAUCCUCAGAUUCAGAGACAAGAUUGACUUCCAUCGUCUUAUGGCUCUAGGAAAGGUAUCGUAUGAGGAUGUGGAUCGUCUGAAGGGUUUGGCUCUGAUGGAGCGUGUACGCAUUCCUCACUUCCUUCAAGACAGAGCACGCUACACAGAACAGCUCCACAAAAUCAUGAAGGUCAACCAGAUAACCGACGAAGAGCUAUGCACACUUAUUUGAGCAUGUGACCUUUGACCUAAGUGAGAGCUGCCAGUAUUGUGAAGUCAAUGGCUGUAUUUAUUUACAAGGACCUUCACCCAUAUUAUGUCGUCGAAAAUGGCCAAGUCCUGAAAACACCGGGAAUUCACCAAAAAUUGUAUUCCAGCUCUUUAAGAUAAGACGAGGAAAGAUUGAGAAAGCACACAGAGGGUUGCACAAACGUGUGAUUGAUGGAAUUCAUAUUCCUAUGACAAUCACUGCCCAUUUUAUUGAUAAUGAGUGAAAAAUGCACUCCAACGUGCUGCAGACAAGGGCAAUGGACAAGACUCAUAUUGCAGAGGUUACACAGAAAACCACGGAGUGCUGCAGCUUCCACAACACAAGUUCAUAACUGAUGAUGUUAUCUGCUGGAACAGCGCCUACGAGAUGCUCUCCGGGUUUCUUGAGCAGCAGCCAGCUGCCAUCUACGCUGCCCUCUUAUCUCUUAAGUGAGGAAGAUUGUGACUGACUGCAGCCUGACUGAGACAGACAUCUCAAAUGCUGUAAAGAUUGUCCAAGCUCUCAAGCCAGUGAUGGUGACCACACAAAUGAUGUGCGAUGUGCAGUUUCUGUCAUUGCUCCACUUCGUGCCCAACUUUAAAACGAGACCACUGAGGAUUCACCUCGUGUCAGAGAGAUAUAAAGCAUCAAUCAAGACCUGUCGAAAGGAUAUAACUCUAUACACAGGAGAAAUUUGUCAGUUUGUGUGUUUACAGAAAAAAUUUACUUUAAUUUACAGACAGAAAAACCUUUUAUGCUGUUUUCUAACAUUUUAAACUUGAAUAAUAAGAGAAAACCUGCACUUAAACGGAUAGUUCCCCAAAAAUGAAAAUUAUGGAAGUAAAUGGGGCUCAUGAACGGUUUGGUUACAAACAUUUCAUUAAAAUAUCUUCAUGUUCAUCAGAAAAAAGAUAUGUAUACAGGUUUGUAACAACAUGAGAGUGAGUGAAUGAUGACAGAAUUUACAAUUUUGGGUGAACUAUCCCUUUAACAUUUUCACAGGCAAUUUGUUUUCAUAGUUAGACAGAUAUUAUGAGGUAUCAUUAUAAGAUUGCUAGCAAUAUACAGCUAUUAUCUGUAUUGCGAGGACCAUAUCGUGAUGUCAUAGUCAGUGACCUCACUAACAUACUGUGACCAAACACCCAUCACUAAGCUUCUCAUCUCUUUGCAAUUUUCUUUGUAACUUUUUAUCAAUUUUUGUCUUUGUACCUGUCUACAUUCAAUAUUUGUGCACUUUAAUGUUCACAACCCAGUUAAAUCUAAAUCUACUUGUAAUUUUAACAGUCGUUGACAAGAAAUCCGUACAGUUCUUCAUGAGUAAUUUAUGAUUCUUUAAUAUCAACCGUGGGAUCAGAUAAUUCAGCCGAUAAAGCACAAAGUCCAUUAAACAGAAGAUAAAUAUACUGUCAUCAAAUCAGGUCUACAAACUUUUUUUUCGAUUUUCAUGAUGUUUUUGUGUGUAUUUGUGACAUUUAAAUCUUUAUUAAUUUAGGGUGAUUAAAUGUUAAAAUCAGGGUUAAUAUUAUGGGUGCCAAAACGUUUAUUUUAAGAUGACGUGUCCUUUAUGAAAGCAGACAAUCCAGUGAGUCAAUGUCAAAAUCGAUCCGAAUAACUUCUCACUCCCAUUGACACAACAUGCUGUGAUUGUAUUUUAUGAGCUUUUUGAGCUGCUCUGUUCCUGAUGUUUUUCCAUCCUUUAAUUUUCAUUUUGAAAAUGAAAUAUUUUCAUUCAGAUAAAGUGUGUUCAGUGAUCUAUAGGAAAGUAUGUUAAAUUCAAAUGAAAUAAAACAUUGUUUCAAUUUUCAUACCCGUAUCACUCAAAGUUUGUUGACUUUGUUUUUAUGAAUUGGCUUCAUGUCAGACAUAGAGCACUGAUAAAUAAUUGAAUCUAAUGCAACAUUAAGUACAUGUAUCCACAGGACACUAGACUUCUGGGCUUUAAACAAUAAAUGUCAGCAGUUUACAAGUUAGCAAUGAUUAAUUUACAGUGUCUAUAACACUCUCUCAAUUGUUUACUGUAAUUUAUGUCUGUAGAAAUAAAA